RNAcentral lists this ribosomal RNA (452 nucleotides) under Amphilectus sp. DC75. Its description in RNAcentral is "partial 28S ribosomal RNA". Lineage: Eukaryota; Metazoa; Porifera; Demospongiae; Poecilosclerida; Esperiopsidae. The record is from RNAcentral.
GAGAGUCAAAAAGACCGCGAAACCGUUAGGAGGGAAACGAAUGCAGCUGAAGUGGCUCCCCGUCAGGCUCAGGAUGAGUCGAUGGGCUCUGCUUUUCCGUCGGGAGCCGUGAGGCCCUGCGGGGGAGCGGGUCGUCGACGACUCUGCAUUUCUGCGGGGAGCCGGCCAACAGCAGUUGUUCCUGGCUCAGAAGGGCCCCUGGGAAGGUAGCCCCACGCCUGGCGUGGGGAACUUAUAGCCUCGGGUCUGGCCAGUCUGGGAGCGACUGAGGAGAGAUCUGCGAUUCUUCGCACGAGCAGCGUGGGCCUUCGGGCUGGGCCGCUCUUGUUCGGUCGGCGGUCGACGUCGUCACUGCGUGCAGUGGCUUCUGUGGACUCUGCAGUCCGGGCUCGAUGUGUGUCACACCUCGCGCUGCGGUUGUUGGUGCCCAAAUGGCUGCAUCCGACCCGUCU